This is a non-coding RNA of Musa acuminata subsp. malaccensis (wild Malaysian banana), 3525 nucleotides long. The record is from RefSeq and is a predicted model, not a curated record. Lineage: Eukaryota; Viridiplantae; Streptophyta; Magnoliopsida; Zingiberales; Musaceae.
UAGGUAUCCUUAUUGCGUUAAGACCAGCAACGCACCAACAAGCGUUGCCUGACGCCGGGGUCACUGAAGCAAGCAGGAUCAAUGACGAGAGCAUUCUUCAUAGUGGAAUCCAGGGAAGCGUAUGGGUUCAUGUAAUGAUCCGUAGAAACCCUAGACGGCGGAGGAGCAGAUCGCCAGCGUCAACGCCGAGAAGGACCCACCUCGCCGACUACAACUGGACCGCGUUCCUCGGAUGGUUUCAGUCUUUGUCCUGGCUCUGUAUCAUUUGAAGGAACGCUGGGCACGGCGGCGGCUUAUGAUGCCGUCGAGAGCCCUCUCAAACUUGAGGUUCUGGAAAUUUGUUCCCUUCUAACCUAAUAUUGUUCCUUCUCUUUGCUGCCAUGGGUUGGAUGAAGGCAUCUUGUGGAGUUUUCCUGAGGUGCUGGAUGAAGAUUAAUUCACCUUUAUUUAAUGAUAAUUGAUCCAUUCAGUCUUUUUUUUUUUUCUUGCAUAUUGGAUGUGAGAGUAUUGGGGUGACACAAUCUUACCAACUAUUAUACUUUGUUAAACAUAACUAUCUCAUAGUUUACUUGAAAAAGCGUAUGCAAUACUGAUGGGGCUGUUUACGUUUUUUUUCUUUUCCUUCGUUUUUUGUGUGACAUCUACAAGUCAGAGAAUGGUGAUCAGGGAUACAAUCAUUACCAAUUUCUAGCAUUAAAAUGAUAUUGUAUUUUUCUAGUGCAGGUCAUGCCAUUUUACUAGCAUUAGUGAAAUAAGGUUUGCACUCUUUUCUGCUUUUUUGUUAAAGCAUUUGCGCACUCAUGCUUGCCUUGCGGUAAUCUCCAAAGCUCCAAUUCCGUUUCCUUCUGCCGGAACGUAAUAGAUGAACAUUGGUGUACUGUCUUUAAAAGUGAAAGCAUAUUAAAUGCAAAUCGUGGCUUGUAAGAAACAGGAAAUCAGUAGUACCUGACUAUAUUUCUAGAUCAUGGAUCGAUAUCACCAUUAACUUCACCAAGGCAUGUUGUUCCAUUGUUUGCUGCUGUCUGUCUUCUCACGGAACUUGCUUGAAUCCAUUCUUGCUUGGUGGACUCUAAACUUAUAUAUUCUAAUGAACUGAGUAGUUAUGUGCUUUUCCAUAUGAUAAGUUUCGUGAGUUGUGAUGAUUUAAUAGAUGAUGACUUGAUAGGAUUGGAGAAACUAGUUUGCAGAUUCAACGAGUGGAUUUCCAAUGAUUACAUAAUCUCUUUCAGCAAAUUGAUUCCAAAUGAUGGUGAACCCGCAGACAAGGUUUCUGAAGGUAUAUUUACUCCAAUCUACUUGUAUCAAACACUUGGAAUGAGAAAAGGAAUGCUGCUGUCUGGUAUUCAUCUGAUUUGAUUCUUGCUUCUGGUUAUAUCCUAUCCAAGGGAAGAGAAGCCAAUUGUAAGGUAAGGAAUGCUGGGCUGACUAAUUCAAUCUCAUUACUGGGGGCUGAGAGUAGUGUGGCUGUGGCCAAGCCUUUCUGUGGGCACUCAAAAUGUGUGGAGUUGGUCCCUCGUUCUCUGUACUUCCUGUUAAAAGAAAUGUGAGGACCUCAAAUGCAAACCAUGCACAAAAGCUAGACAGCUAAUUGAGAGAGCUCCACAUGCAUGGUUGAAGCUAAUCAUGCAUGGGCCCACGAAAGCAUUCAUGGGGACGUAAUCUGUUCUUCUUCUCUUCUUUGUUUUAGAAUCUUCCCUGCUCAUCAGAUCAGAAUUCAGAUAACCAUCCGUGACGCAUUGAGGCAUUGCAUGUUAACGGCAUCCAAGCAUCAAGCAUGGCAAGAUUUCUAUUUCAACUUGUCCCUCCCUUAUCUAUGCUUCGGUUGGCCUUUGUACUUUAUAUUCAACAAUAAACUCAUGAAACAAUAAUAUCAUUCAACACGCCACUUAAUUUUGAACAGCUUGAUGUUCCGAAGACCUCCUCAUGCCAUAAGCAAUUUUGUCCAUCACUCUAUAGCACUAUUUAGUGUAGAAUAUACUACAAUUUCUGUUCCCUCUGAUUGUGUCUGGUAUUUGCCCAUAGUUUAGAAUGCUUCCGUCUAAUUUAUUCAUCUCGUUUUGUCUUCUGAUUCUGAAGAUGCUGUUCAAAUGAAAAGCCUUAAAACAAGUGGUCGUAGGUCGUUUAUAGCAGUGCUUUCUUUUAUGACUCAUGGUAUUGGUCUCCAUUUAAGCAAUGCUUUCAAGGAUAGGCUUUCAAUUUUUUCCCCUCCCUGGGGAUAUACAGCUAAUGAUAUGUUGACAUGCAGGUGCUUUUCUUAACAAUAUUGCACUUUAUUCUUGGCCCCACUCUAUCAUGCUGUUACUAGUAGCUAAUUUACAUAUGAAAUGCAUCCAUGGACAUCAUUCUGAGGGUAGUUGGCUCUGCUUUGUAACUGUCAAAGUUGAUAUCCAACAUGGAGAGUGCAUCAGAUCUGCUGAUUAUUAGCAGCCUACACAUCCUAGUUCAGGUUUCGAUUAUCGAGAGGCACAUCAAUGAUCCAUGGAGCUUUUGAUAGGGUUAAUAAAAUUUUAAAUACUGAAAAAUGACCCAUUGAUCAAACAUUUAAGAAUUAAGUAAGAAUUUUAUGUGCCAAAUGCUCUUAGUUCAUAUAAUCCAUUUGCAAUCGUUUAUGGAAGGGUCUCUACAAACUUGUUGUCUGUAGUGUUCAAAUGCCCAGCAUGAUCAAUUUCAUAAGAACCAUAUUUUUUGACUUUUGGAGCAAUUGUUCAAAUGCUCAGCAUGUAACAAUAAUGAUGGUCCUUUCACAUGUUAUUUUACAUGAAGAAUAUUGAACUCUGUUGUUAGGAUGGUACCACACAAAGGUGUCAUUUGCUGCUUCAAAGCUGAUCCCAUCAUCUUAGAUGACUUAUGCCUUAAUGUGCAGUGAUUAUGUUAACGAUGGUUUUGAUUCAAAGAACUGAGCCUUGCCUCAACUUUAAGCUGAUAAUUAGGAUAAUGGCAAUGAAGACGAGGUCUAUGAUGAACCUGAUGCAUCAGUUAUCAUAUUGCUUGUUGUACCUAAGAAAUUCUUUGGCAGGUAGACAAGCAUGACUUUAUUAAACUGAUGGGUUGCUUAGUGUAGCUUAUCUAGUUUGCAAUUGUCAACUUAUAUAAGAGCUGCAAAAGUUGUAGGAGUACCUCAGGCAUCUUAAUAAUAUAUACCUGCUACUAAAUCUUCUUCGUCUUCUACAAUAAGGAAAAGACAAAUUUAUUCUCAUAGAGUACAAGUGCAAACAAACGCAGGGCAUCUCAACAUCAGUUUUACUUGGUAUCCCUUUAGUAUGUCAUAGAAUACAGGUACCACUAAGACUCCCUCACAAAAGACAAAAUUAAUGUUUUAUUCACAUUUGUUUCUUGUUUUCAACAAUUGCUUUGCACUUAUUUCAGCUACUAUUUAAUGGGAUCAUAAUUGUUACUUGGUAAGUGAAACGAUCCAAGGUUUUCCAUCAGGAAUCGUAAAUUUCUAUUAAUUGGAAAGUUCUAGGGAUAAUUGGUGGGUACUGUUGUUGUCUGCAAAGAGAAAGAGAACUGCAAUGCUUUCUUUCA